AUUCCAGCUCCAGUAGCGUAUAUUAAAGUUGUUGCAGUUAAAAAGCUCGUAGUUGGAUUUCUGGUUUCACAGAACUGGCCUACUUCCUCAAGGUCGUGUGCGCCGUGUUUUGUGUACCAUCCUUCUAGAAAACGUUCGUACCCUUCACUGGGCCGCGUCCGAGAUCUAGAUCUUUUACUUUGAAAAAAUUAGAGUGUUUAAAGCAGGCAGUUGCUAUGAAUACAUUAGCAUGGAAUAAUAAUCUAGGACUUCGGUUCUAUUUUGUUGGUUUCUAGUACUGAAGUAAUGAUUGAUAGGGAUAGUUGGGGGUGCUAGUAUUGAGCGGCCAGAGGUGAAAUUCUUGGAUUCGCUCAAGACUAACUUAUGCGAAAGCAUUCACCAAGGAUGUCUUCAUCA
RNAcentral lists this ribosomal RNA (396 nucleotides) under Botuliformidae sp. RNAcentral's name for it is "partial small subunit ribosomal RNA". It matches the Rfam family "Eukaryotic small subunit ribosomal RNA", at positions 582 to 975 of the family's 1831-position model. Lineage: Eukaryota; Cercozoa; Thecofilosea. The record is from RNAcentral.